RNAcentral lists this unclassified non-coding RNA (374 nucleotides) under uncultured Actinomycetes bacterium. RNAcentral describes it as "uncultured actinobacterium contains 16S-23S intergenic spacer region". The record is from RNAcentral. Lineage: Bacteria; Bacillati; Actinomycetota; Actinomycetes.
UCCGGUUUGUCACCGGCAGUCUCCUAUGAGUCCCCGACAUAACUCGCUGGCAACACGCCACGGGGGUUGCGCUCGUUGCGGGACUUAACCCAACAUCUCACGACACGAGCUGACGACAGCCAUGCACCACCUGUACACCCCCAAAAGAAGCCCCAUCUCUGGAGCGGCAGGGUGUAUGUCAAACCCAGGUAAGGUUCUUCGCGUUGCAUCGAAUUAAUCCGCAUGCUCCGCUGCUUGUGCGGGCCCCCGUCAAUUCCUUUGAGCUUUAGCCUUGCGGCCGUACUCCCCAGGCGGGAUGCUUAAUGCGUUAGCUUCGGCACGGACGGAGUCGACACCGCCCACACCUAGCAUCCAUCGUUUACGGCGUGGACUAC